UAGCUUGUGACUGGAGUUCAGACGUGUGCUCUUCCGAUCUGAAACAUCUCAGUAAGCGGAGGAAUAGAAAGAGAAAUCGAUUCCGUAAGUAGCGGCGAGCGAAAGCGGAACAGCCCAAACCGGUGACUUCGGUUACCGGGGUUGUAGGGCCUCAAUAUGGUAUCUUAACAGUUAGGUGAAGCGCGUGGAAAAGCGUUCCCAAGAGGGUGACAGGCCCGUAACCGAAAACUGAAGAGAACCUAGAGUGUCCCUGAGUAAUACGGCACACGUGAAACGCCGUAUGAAUCUGUGCGGACCACCGCAUAAGGCUAAAUACUAGAUAGCGACCGAUAGUGAACAAGUACUGUGAAGGAAAGGUGAAAAGUACCCCUGCGAGGGGAGUGAAAUAGAUCCUGAAACCGUGUGCCUACAAGGUGUGAGAGCAGGCUUGUCCUGUGAUCGCGUGCCUUUUGCCUAAUGAGUCUGCGAGUUAGUAUCAGUGGCAAGCUUAAGUCCUUCUGGGACGUAGGCGUAGCGAAAGCGAGUCCGAAUAGGGCGAACAUAAGUCGCUGGUGUUAGACCCGAAGCGGAGGUGAUCUACCCUUGACCAGGUUGAAGCUUGAGUAAAAUCAAGUGGAGGACCGAACCGGUGUCUGUUGAAAAAGGCUCGGAUGAGUUGAGGGUAGGAGUGAAAGGCUAAUCAAACCCCGUGAUAGCUGGUUCUCCUCGAAAUGUAUUUAGGUACAGCGUCACGUGUUGAUCUACGGGGGUAGAGCACUGAAUGAGCUAGGGGGCAUACCCGCUUACCAAACUCAAUCAAACUCCGAAUACCGUAGAGUAGAGCGUGGCAGUGAGACAGUGGGGGAUAAGCUUCAUUGUCAAAAGGGAAAGAACCCAGAUCAGCAGCUAAGGUGCCUAAAUACCGCUCAGUGGAAAGGAGGUGAGAUCUCAUAGACAGUGAGGAUGUUGGCUUAGAGGCAGCCACCAUUUAAACAAUGCGUAAUAGCUGACUCAUCGAGAGAUCUUGCGCCGAAAAUAAUUGGCGAUAAGCGGUAUACCGAAGCUCUGGAUGUUAUGUUUCUACGGAAACAUGGCGUGGUAGAGGAGCAUUGUUAGAACAUUGAAGCGCGAUGGCGACUGACCGUGGAGAUCUAACAAGUGAGAAUGCAGACAUGAGUAACGAUAAGACGGGUUAAAUCCCCGUCCGCCGUAAACCCAAGGAUUCCUGGGCAAUGCUAAUCAUCCCAGGGUUAGUCGGGACCUAAGCCGAGGCCGAAGGGCGUAGGCGAUGGAAAGCAGGUUAAUAUUCCUGCACGUCCGAAACUUAACCCAGAAGGACGCAUUCCUAGAGAGAUAAUACCGACUGAUAGUGGUAGAGGGGAAACUUCGGUGGAACCUAUCUUCUCGACGGGAGUGCCAAGAAAAGUUCUGGUGCAUGCUAAGGACCCCGUACCGUAAACCGACACAGGUGGGUGAGUAGAAUAUACUAAGGCGUAAGAGUGAAACCUCGUUAAGGAACUCGGCAAUCUAGCCCCGUAACUUAGGGAUAAGGGGUCCCAAUCUUCGGAUUGGGCGCAGUGAAAGGGGCCAACCGACUGUUUAGCAAAAACACAGCAUUCUGCUAAGACGAAAGUCGACGUAUAGGAUGUGACACGUGACCAAUGCCAAAAGAUUAAGGUAAGAUGUUAGCCCUUGAGGCGAAGCUUUGAACCCAAGUCCUGGUGAAUGUCGGCCGUAACAAUAACGGUCCUAAGGUAGCGAAAUUCCUUGUCGGGUAAGUUCCG
RNAcentral lists this ribosomal RNA (1763 nucleotides) under seawater metagenome. Its description in RNAcentral is "bacterial LSU rRNA". It matches the Rfam family "Bacterial large subunit ribosomal RNA", at positions 141 to 1985 of the family's 2925-position model. The record is from RNAcentral.